CCUACGGGGGGCAGCAGUGAGGAAUAUUGGUCAAUGGGCGUAAGCCUGAACCAGCCAAGUCGCGUGAGGGAUGAAGGUUCUAUGGAUCGUAAACCUCUUUUAUAAGGGAAUAAAGUGUGGGACGUGUGCGAUUUUGUAUGUACCUUAUGAAUAAGGAUCGGAUAACUCCGUGCCAGCAGCCGCGGUAAUACGGAGGUUCCGAGCGGUAUCCGGAUUUAUUGGGGUUAAAGGGUGCGUAGGCGGCCUUUUAAGUCAGCGGUGAAAGUCUGUGGCUCAACCAUAGAAUUGCCGUUGAAACUGGGGGGCUUGACUAUGUUUGUGGCAGGCGGAAUGCGUUGUGUAGCCGU
RNAcentral lists this ribosomal RNA (347 nucleotides) under uncultured bacterium. RNAcentral describes it as "partial 16S ribosomal RNA". It matches the Rfam family "Bacterial small subunit ribosomal RNA", at positions 338 to 682 of the family's 1533-position model. The record is from RNAcentral.